Chenopodium quinoa (quinoa) is the source of this 4082-nucleotide RNA transcript. It is a transcript of the gene named F-box/LRR-repeat protein 10-like, with no coding region annotated. NCBI's taxonomy places the organism in Eukaryota, Viridiplantae, Streptophyta, Magnoliopsida, Caryophyllales, Amaranthaceae. The record is from RefSeq and is a predicted model, not a curated record. The transcript has 6 exons.
GUUUCUUGAUCCAAUAACUGAAUAACACAAAUUUUGCUGCAAUUACCAUCUUCAUACAUCAGCUUAACUACGGAGGAGUAUUUAACCCAUGUGAAUUACAUCAAAAUGAAAGUAAACAUAUUCCCUUACUUCCUUUGUAGUUUGUAUUGUCCUUCAUUCUAACCAAAAAAAAAAUUAAAGCAUCACUAAAAUUAAUAAAUUGGAUUUGAUCUCAAAUCUUAAACAUCAUCUCUCAAGACUUUAACCAAUUAAACCACGAAAAUUAUAACAAUUUUAUAAUCUUUAAGAUUGCGUAGACUAGUAUGAUAUUUAGAGAACAACAAUGAGCAGGGGUGAGAAUCGAUCUCAUAACUUUUUAAAAAUGGGAGGAAAGCUCUAACCACUUGUAUUAUCUCUCACUCUCACAGUUAUACACUUAGAUGUAACCUUAAUUCGUUAAGGGUGACAUACUGACAUGUAUAUCAUCAUUUUCCUAAAAAUAAAAACAAAACCAAAAAAUCUUUUUAAUUUCUUGUUUCCUCCCCCCUGCAAUUUGCAAAUUAACAAUUCCCCAUUAAUGAAAUGAUUCUUGUCUUGAAAUUGCAAUAAAAAUCUUCAAUUUCCACCAAUUUUAGAUCUCCCCCCAAAAAAUUAAGAAGCAGAAACAGAGAGAGAAAUGGAGAAUAGGGAAGAAGGAGAAGGGGAAGAAGGAGGAGAGAGAAUGGGGUUGGAUCAACUUCCAUCAGCUUUGCUUGCUACGAUUAUUUCAAAGUUAGACAUGGCGUCAAUCUGUUCCGUCGCUUCUACUUGUCGCACUUUCAAUUCCUGCGCUUCUCAUAUUAUGACUUUCCUUCCUACUGUUCACCUCCUUGAUGUUGCACCAUCAAUGGAUCUGUUGGCUCCCUUAUUGCCCCCAAACCCUUAUCUCACAAGCCUGAAAGUUGACUGUUGCCGGCUUGAUGACUCUGCGAUUACUCAACUCAUUCGGCCCUCUUUACAUGAGCUUUUUCUUCAUAAUUGUGGUGAUUUUAGUGGUAGAUUGCUCUCUGAGAUUGGUGCUAAAUGUCGUGAUAUUAGGUCUCUCUACCUAGGGUGUGUGGGCGACAAAAGAGGUCGUGCAAUUCAUAUAUCUGAUCUGGAGGAAUUACUCAGAGGUUGCAAUGAACUGGAAACUCUUAAUCUGAUGUUUGAUGUAUCAACAUUUCUUCGGCAUAAUUUUGCCCGAGCAUGGACUUUGGCUUCUGAUAAAUUAACUUCUCUAGAAAUCGGUUAUAUCUCGUCAGUCAUGGUGACAGAAUUGCUCAGCCCAACUCCUGGGCCUAGUCAGUUUCUGCAGCAAGAGCAGCCGCCUGUACUACCGAAUCUUCAGAAGUUGUGCCUUUCUGUAGAUUAUAUCACUGAUACUAUGAUCAACACAAUAUCCCAGAAUCUCACUUCAUUGACUCAUUUGGAUCUUCGAGAUGCACCUAUCAUUGAACCAAGGGUGACUUUUGACCUCACCAACAACGGUCUCCAGCAGAUAAACCGACAUGGAAAGUUGAAACAUCUUUCAUUGGUACGUAGCCAAGAGUUCCUCGUAACUUAUUAUCGUCGAGUCAAUGAUCUGGGUAUCCUCUUAAUGGCCGACAGUUGUGCAAGUAUGGAAAGUAUAUCUCUUGGUGGCUUUUGCCGUGUUACAGAUACAGGUUUCAGAGCUAUUUUACAUUCAUGCACUAACCUUUACAAGAUAAAAAUAUCACACGGGACUCAACUCACCGAUCUGGUUUUUCUGGACAUCUCAGCUACCCCUCUUUCAUUAACACAUGUUGGCUUGAGAUGGUGUAAUCUGCUGACCAAUCUUGCAAUUACACAUGUGGCAUCAAAUUUGGAUCUGACUGUGCUUGACCUGAGGGAUUGCAGAAGCCUUGGGGAUGAUACUCUGAUAGCAAUCAGCCGUCUUCCUAAAUUAAAGUCAUUACUUCUUGAUGGAUCUGAUAUAAGUGAUGUUGGAAUUUCACAUCUGAAGGAAAAGGCAGCUAGCUCACUAGUCUCUCUAUCUGUUAGAGGCUGCAAGAGACUUACAGAUAAAUGCAUCACCGCCUUAUUCAGUAGCACUUCAAAGCCCGUGUUGCAAGAACUGGACUUGUCAAAUCUGCCUAAUCUGAGUGACAAUGGAGUUCUACUCUUGGCUAAAAGCCGAGUUUCAAUUUGUGAACUCCGUAUGAGACAAUGUCCUCUCAUUGGUGACACUUCUGUCAUGGCAUUGGCCUCAAUGCAGGUUGAUGAUGAAAGAUGGCAUGGCAACUGCCUACGUUUGCUGGAUCUCUAUAACUGUGGGCGUAUAUCCGCACUCUCAUUCCGCUGGCUGAAGAAGCCAUACUUUCCGAGGUUAAAAUGGUUGGGGGUGACUGGAAGUGUGAACAGGGACAUGGUGGAUGCAUUAGCUAGGAGUAGACCUUACUUGCAUGUUGCUGGUCGUGGUGAGGAGCUAGGAACUGGCCAAUGGGACCAUGCGGAUGGAUUUUACAUCCAUGAUUAUGAGGAAAUGGAUGAACUCGAAAGAUUUAUCUUGGAGGGUGAUGAUGUAGUAAGCGAUGAAGAAAUGGCAGAGGGUGCUGAACUUCAUGAAGAACUAGAGGAAUGAAAUGGCAGGUGUCUUUCAGGACUACAGGUACACCCGUUAGACUCGGUCCAAAGCAUUACAACUUAAUUUUCAUCAAAUUUGGCAAGUGCGCACAAGAUGAAGUUAUAUUCAGUCGUCUUCAACUCGUCUUGGUUUCAUAUGUAAAACGAAGCUCAAGUUUCCUCCUGAGUGAGUGUAAAAUUACUGUUUACUGCUGAGAACUAAGCAGCAAACUUCUCAUUAACUUAAUUUCCUGUUUUUACCAACCCACUAAACUAUAUACUGGUAAUAUAUCUCAAUUCUGGAAAUAUGCAACACUUUUCCGUUUGCAAAGUGUGAAGAGUUGCCUUCUGUUGACAAACAAAAUUCUGCGUCUCUUUUGACAAACAUAACAUUCGAUCUUUUGCUUCAGUCCGUCACCCUAUAUAAACCCUCUUGCAGGCAAUGGAAUGAUCAUUGCACCAUCCAUUCAUUCAACAUCCAUCUUAAAAUAGUGGUGGUAGUAUAUGUUACUGGUUUUAACAUACAAGUUCAAGAAACAUACCAACCACAUGGCUACCAUCAGGUCAUCAGCAUGUAUCCUAACCUUUACAUUACUGCUGGGAGUUUCUUUGUUGGGAACAUGCAUGGGCAACAAGGAGCCAGAGCCGACAACGACACAACGUCGGGGCAGGGGUUGGGGUUGGGGUUGGAGUCGCGGUGAAGGUGCAGGUUCUCCUCAGGGACAGGGUGGGUGGCCUGCUCCUGCUGGUUACAAUUUUAGCCGCAGUGGUUAUCCCUUGUCUCGCAGAAAUCGCACUAAUGGACCUAACAGGAUCAUUGUAGGAGGCUCCAACAAUUGGAGUUUUGGCUUCAAUUACUGUGAUUGGGCUUUCAAAAUUGGGCCGUAUUAUCUCAAUGAUGUCCUAGUGUUCAAAUAUAGUGCACCAGUAAAUGAGACACCAGGACACAGCAUAUACUUGCUUCCCGACUUCUGGAGCUAAUUAAAGUGCGACUUAAGCCAAGCCAAGCAAGUAGCAACUACCACCCAAGGUGGCGGCAAGGGGUUCGAGUUCAAGCUCACCAAGUGGCAGCCUCAUUACUUUGCUUGUGGAGAACACAAUGGUGUUCACUCCAACCUUGGCAUGAUGAAGUUUUUUGUCAUGCCUAUCUUUCGCUACUCAAAUUAAUCAAUCACUAGUACACCCUAGUUGUACUAAGUACUAACAACACCCGCCGAUUGCUUGCUAGGGAAAAUUAAAACCCGUUACUAUCAUACUCAAUUACUAUUUACAUUUUGUUUUGGUUAAGUAAGUAUUAUUCUAAUUUGGAAACAAAUUCAACUAUAUAGUUUAAUUUCUCGGUGAAAAUGUGGAAUUGGUUUCCGAAGGACCACCAUUAUUUGGUGGCCUUAAAAUCACGUGUCUGUUGCUAUCAUAGCAAGGAGUAAGUAUCUCAUUAAGCCUUAUCUUCGCCCAUGUAUCCCCUUAUAUUAUACGAAAUAUAUAUGUACAUGUAAAUA